CUAAGUGGGAGUUGGGAACAGAACAUCGGGUCGAGGUCUCGUAUAUAAUUUUCCCAAGGUCUUUCAAAGCGGGGAAAAGUGAGUGAGCGAAGCCGUGGAUCUCAUCUAUAAUCCCAUAAUGUUAUUUCUUUAGUUCCGUGUUCGGUGUCUAAACCUAACCCACAAGCGGUAGAAUUUUGUAUUCGUAGAAGAUAUAGAUCUCAUUUGACUUGACAUCCACACGUAUGACAUAAUAUUGUGCGCUUUCUUUCACAUAACAUAAAUGUCGAAAGAUCGGAUCUCAGACUCAAAAGGAGUUGUC
This 301-nucleotide long non-coding RNA is filed under the name Carica papaya (papaya). Its description in RNAcentral is "long non-coding RNA (CPAP_LNC012058)". The record is from RNAcentral. Lineage: Eukaryota; Viridiplantae; Streptophyta; Magnoliopsida; Brassicales; Caricaceae.